UAAGGAAUAUUGGUCAAUGGACGCAAGUCUGAACCAGCCAUGCCGCGUGAAGGAUGAAGGUCCUCUGGAUUGUAAACUUCUUUUAUCUGGGACGAAAACGGGAUUUUUAUCUCAAUUGACGGUACCAGAGGAAUAAGCACCGGCUAACUCCGUGCCAGCAGCCGCGGUAAUACGGAGGGUGCAAGCGUUAUCCGGAUUUACUGGGUUUAAAGGGUGCGUAGGCGGGCAUGUAAGUCAGUGGUGAAAUACCGGAGCUUAACUUCGGAACCGCCAUUGAUACUAUAUGUCUUGACUAUUGUGGAGGUAAGCGGAAUAUGUCAUGUAGCGGUGAAAUGCAUAGAUAUGACAUAGAACACCGAUUGCGGAGGCAGCUUGCUACGCAAAUAUUGACGCUGAGGCACGAAAGCGUGGGGAUCAAACA
This 421-nucleotide ribosomal RNA is filed under the name uncultured bacterium. Its description in RNAcentral is "bacterial SSU rRNA". It matches the Rfam family "Bacterial small subunit ribosomal RNA", at positions 355 to 774 of the family's 1533-position model. The record is from RNAcentral.